CUUCGCUCCUACCCGCCAGCCCCGCGGCCUUCUUCCGCGGGCCCGCGCAAUGGAGUUGGCGACGCGAAACCCCGGGCAGCAGAGAGCUGACGGGGGCAGCGCGUGAGGGGAAGAGGCCUGUUAAUUAACGCGAUUGCGUAGAGCCACAGGGCCUUAGAGGCUGGGCACCGCUGGCUGCUGGAAGGCGGAGAGCUAGCGGGCCUCUGCGCUCCUCUGCCAGGCUCUCAAAGAUCCGGCGGCCAGGCCUGUGUUGCCGCCUCUUCUGCGGCUCACGCUGUGUAAACUUGGCCUCCUUUUUUCUGCGGGCCCCAGCCUCGCACCUGCCAGAUCGACCCAGGGCUGCGGUGGGCAGAGGUACCCUGGGGGUGGAGGGAGAGACCCGGACUGACAGCAACUACAGUGCUCAGCAAGUUUUUAUAGAGUGGUUUUUAAGAGUACUAAAGACAUGGUAUAUAGUGGUCAAAAUGAAACCAAGCAAAAAAUGACAAGUGGUCUAAUUAGUACUGGCUUCUAGUAAGCAUAUCCUCAAGCAACAUCUGUACUCAGCUCCUUGAAGUAUACUGGGAAUAUUAGCAACAAAAACACACCAGAAACAUCUGGAUAAUCGUGUAGCAACAGACUGGCUGGUAACAAAACUUGAAAUGUGAAUGAAGCGUAAACUACACCACGGGAAAUUAACUCUUUUCUUAUACUUAUUUACACAUUUUAAAUAGAACAUCUAGGAUUCCAUUUUCUCACCAGUAAAUAUCAUAAAUAAUACAAUUUACUUUUGAUUAUUCUGUGGACUUACUGUGUAAUUUUUUGGUGCAGCUGGAGGGUGUGAUGAUAUAGUAGUAUUGUUGGCCUGUAAGAGAUAACUGGCACUAAUCCAAUUUAUGAGAAUUGCUUUCUAGCAUUAUUAUGGUUUCCUACUAAGAGAAGAUACUGUAAUGAGGAAGAACAUUAAACUGUAACUCAUUAUAAUAUAUAGGUACACAUAUGUUAUAAUUUUUGUGAAAUAAAAUACUUUUGCUUAGUAACAGUAAAUAAAAUUUAUGGCAAUUUAAGAGGCAUACAGUAGAGCUGAAUUAAGAUUUUUGCAGGUACUAUGCACCGACAUGAUUUUGAUGUCUUACCACCUCACCUCAUAUGUAAAUAAAAUUAAAGUAAUACUAAACCAAAAAAUGUGUAAAGUCUAACAAAGUUGCUUUUGCUGAAAUAUUAAAUCCUUUAAGAAAGUAUUUUUUUUUUUUUACUCUGGUGUAGCUCGUGCCCUAAAGCAUAUAUAUGCUUAGUCUGCUUAUUGUGUAAGCUAGAAGUGGCAGCAUAGAGGUUUUAGCCUUAGCUCAGAGAGCAUAAGUAAGUACUACAAAGUACCUUCAAUGAAAAUCUAAUAUUCAUUGAGUGCCAGUUCACUGAAGUAGAUUCAGAAGUAUUUCUGCCCUCAGUAAGCUUACAUUCUAACAUGGUGUACAAGAAAGAUGCUCAAUUAAGUGCCUAUAUAUUGAAAGUAGUGGUUUUUCUUUUAACAUAGUAAUGACAUAUUACUCAAACACUGAAAAUAGAGGCUUUGUAGUUGGAUAUUAAAUACUCACUGUCAUGAAAUUUUUUUCAACAGUUCACACUCAUUUUA
This is a long non-coding RNA of Phyllostomus hastatus (greater spear-nosed bat), 1612 nucleotides long. RefSeq lists it as uncharacterized. The record is from RefSeq and is a predicted model, not a curated record. Lineage: Eukaryota; Metazoa; Chordata; Mammalia; Chiroptera; Phyllostomidae. The transcript is spliced from 3 exons.